RNAcentral lists this ribosomal RNA (115 nucleotides) under Luciogobius sp. CBM:ZF:21078. Its description in RNAcentral is "partial 16S rRNA". The record is from RNAcentral. Lineage: Eukaryota; Metazoa; Chordata; Actinopteri; Gobiiformes; Gobiidae.
ACCCUCCUAACAGCUAGCCCCCUCCCAAAAACAACAAACAACAUUAAUAAGCCCUCACAAACCAUUCAAACAAUCAACAAACCAUUUUUCCCCCCUAGUAUGGGCGACAGAAAAG